This 75-nucleotide transfer RNA is filed under the name Methylobacterium sp. Its description in RNAcentral is "tRNA-Thr". It matches the Rfam family "tRNA". Rfam says of the family: Transfer RNA (tRNA) molecules are approximately 80 nucleotides in length. Their secondary structure includes four short double-helical elements and three loops (D, anti-codon, and T loops). Further hydrogen bonds mediate the characteristic L-shaped molecular structure. tRNAs have two regions of fundamental functional importance: the anti-codon, which is responsible for specific mRNA codon recognition, and the 3' end, to which the tRNAs corresponding amino acid is attached (by aminoacyl-tRNA synthetases). tRNAs cope with the degeneracy of the genetic code in two manners: having more than one tRNA (with a specific anti-codon) for a particular amino acid; and 'wobble' base-pairing, i.e. permitting non-standard base-pairing at the 3rd anti-codon position. RNAcentral also lists the same sequence under 24 other names. The record is from RNAcentral. Lineage: Bacteria; Pseudomonadati; Pseudomonadota; Alphaproteobacteria; Hyphomicrobiales; Methylobacteriaceae.
GCUGCGGUAGCUCAGUGGUAGAGCACCUCAUUGGUAAUGAGGAGGUCGUGGGUUCGAUCCCCCCUCGCAGCACCA